GGGGAUUUGGCUCAGUGGUAGAGUGCUUGCCUAGCAAGCACAAGGCCCUGGGUUCAAUCCCCAGCUCUG
RNAcentral lists this transfer RNA (69 nucleotides) under Rattus norvegicus (Norway rat). It matches the Rfam family "tRNA". From Rfam's summary of the family: Transfer RNA (tRNA) molecules are approximately 80 nucleotides in length. The record is from Rfam by way of RNAcentral. Lineage: Eukaryota; Metazoa; Chordata; Mammalia; Rodentia; Muridae.